AUUGAACGCUGGCGGCAUGCCUUACACAUGCAAGUCGAACGGCAGCGGGGGAGAAGCUUGCUUUUCCUGCCGGCGAGUGGCGAACGGGUGAGUAAUACAUCGGAACGUGCCCUGUAGUGGGGGAUAACUAGUCGAAAGAUUAGCUAAUACCGCAUACGACCUGAGGGUGAAAGUGGGGGACCGCAAGGCCUCAUGCUAUAGGAGCGGCCGAUGUCUGGUUAGCUAGUUGGUGGGGUAAAGGCCUACCAAGGCGACGAUCAGUAGCUGGUCUGAGAGGACGAUCAGCCACACUGGGACUGAGACACGGCCCAGACUCCUACGGGAGGCAGCAGUGGGGAAUUUUGGACAAUGGGCGAAAGCCUGAUCCAGCAAUGCCGCGUGUGUGAAGAAGGUCUUCGGGUUGUAAAGCACUUUUGUCCGGAAAGAAAUGGCUCUGGUUAAUACCUGGGGUCGAUGACGGUACCGGAAGAAUAAGGACCGGCUAACUACGUGCCAGCAGCCGCCGUAA
RNAcentral lists this ribosomal RNA (508 nucleotides) under uncultured bacterium. Its description in RNAcentral is "partial 16S ribosomal RNA". It matches the Rfam family "Bacterial small subunit ribosomal RNA", at positions 30 to 523 of the family's 1533-position model. The record is from RNAcentral.